UCUCCGUUGGUGAACCAGCGGAGGGAUCAUUAUCGAGUUUAUAACUCCCAAACCCUAUGUGAACUUACCACUUGUUGCUUCGGCGCGCGCUUCGGCGCCGCCGAGGACACUUAAACUCUUUGUUUUUAUAAGCAUUUCUGAGUGGCCGAAAGGCAAAAUACAAAUGAAUCAAAACUUUCAACAACGGAUCUCUUGGUUCGG
Molecule: unclassified non-coding RNA, 201 nt
Filed under: plant metagenome
Description: partial contains small subunit ribosomal RNA, internal transcribed spacer 1, and 5.8S ribosomal RNA
Source: RNAcentral